GGGCUUUAUCAUCUCCAAUUGCUUUAAGACUCUCCACAAUUUCAGCAUCAGUGAUAUCCAUACAUAAAUCCUUUCUUUGCUGCUAUGUUAGGACUGGACCAUUUGCCAUGUACCUUCUGUUUAUUGCUGGAAGGACAGAAGUUGAUGAUCCCAUAAGAUUUUUAUUGAAGCCACUGAUCUCAUUUCUUAUACCUGCUGAUGUGAUGACUUUGUCUCCCAUUACAUUUAUAAGUGCUGUGAUAUGUUUAUUCUGAGUUCUCUCCUUCAUGACUGCAGUAAAGUACUUGGUGUUAGCAUCUCUAAGUUGAAUCCAUUUUGCUCUGGCCUUCUGCUGUAGGACACUUUCUUC
RNAcentral lists this long non-coding RNA (349 nucleotides) under Nicotiana benthamiana. RNAcentral's name for it is "long non-coding RNA (NBEN_LNC015064)". The record is from RNAcentral. Lineage: Eukaryota; Viridiplantae; Streptophyta; Magnoliopsida; Solanales; Solanaceae.